Long non-coding RNA from Oreochromis aureus, 1111 nucleotides. RefSeq lists it as uncharacterized. NCBI's taxonomy places the organism in Eukaryota, Metazoa, Chordata, Actinopteri, Cichliformes, Cichlidae. The transcript is spliced from 3 exons. The record is from RefSeq and is a predicted model, not a curated record.
AGAGACACAGUCUUUAGGUUUAACAGAAGGUUUACAGACACCCACUUGGGAAGGGUCCAUUACCACAAAGGUAGGUAAUCUACACAGACUGUCUGUCAUCCCACUCUGAAUAGCCCCAGAAAACAAAGUCCCAGAAUCUGGGGAAGUCAAAGCAUCCUGCUCACUCACCGCAUCCGGCUGCUCGAAAGUGAAUGUAGACGGGGAAUGAAGUCCUAAAUCCAAAAGAAGAAAUUCCUGCUCCCAUGGAUAUAGCGAGCCCAAAAGCCAUGGGAGACCGGUCACCAGACGCUGUAGCCGCCUCUCUAUAGCGCGCUGGGACUUGUCAUCCUGGCUUUCCAGCCACAGGUCGAUGAGCUCUUGUGUGGCAUCGAUGAGGUUCUCCCGUAGUUCUGUAGACGGGUUAAGUGCUGCUGGGUCCAUCUUGUGGUCGCGUCGUACUGUCACGGCUCGGGGCAGCGGCCGUGUGAGGUGAGGAAGGAGGACUCAAAUGCAGCACUUAUUCAGAUGCGAGGGUGGUUUAUUAAGGAUACUGAACAUAAAGUGGGGAUGGCAAAACAGAACUAAGGAUGAACUAAACUGGGAGAAACUAAACCAAGAAGUAGCAAACCUGAACAUGGAGGGAGGACAGCAGGGAGAGGAUGAACACAGCUGGAACUAAUGAACCUAAUGAGACACAAAUCUACAAAGUAAAACAGGAAACACACAGCCUGUUUUACCACACAAGACUCGGGGACCCGAACAGCGCACAGAGGGAAGACACAGGUGAUUGGCCACACCUGAAGACCAUGUCACACCUGCAGCUGAUCAGGCCUCGUCGGAGGAGCUACUUGAGAGUGUGGUGGAGCUCUCUCCGACGCGGGAUCAUUGCGUGACUUGACGAGAAGCAGGGAGACAAGAGGACGAGCGAGCACGGGGUGCUCAGACACCAAGGAGCGGGGAGAGGGACACUGACACUGGGAGAAGGACACGUCACGGGAGUCGGGAGUGCACAGAGGAUUUACUGUUAUUUUCCUUACAACUGUAAAUAAACGCACUGUUUACACACAGAGCACCGCACCUGGGUCCUCCUUCCUCACACCCCCCCACGGUCUGCCAGCCAGACCGUGACAGU